AAAGACUCAAUUCCUGAGUUUUUAUGUCUAACGUUUGACCGUUCGUCUUAUUUGAAAAAAAAUAUAAAAAAAAAUUUAAAAGAUAAGUCAUGCAUAAAGUACUAUUCAUGUUUUAUCAUCUAACAAUAAUAAAAAUAGUAAUCAUAAAAAAUUUUCAUAUAAGACGGACGGUCAAACGUUAGGCACGAAAACCCAAGAAUUAAGUCCUU
This is a microRNA precursor of Oryza sativa Japonica Group (Japanese rice), 209 nucleotides long. It matches the Rfam family "MIR812 microRNA precursor family". The record is from Rfam. Lineage: Eukaryota; Viridiplantae; Streptophyta; Magnoliopsida; Poales; Poaceae.